This 73-nucleotide transfer RNA is filed under the name Cordylochernes scorpioides. RNAcentral's name for it is "tRNA-Gly". The record is from RNAcentral. Lineage: Eukaryota; Metazoa; Arthropoda; Arachnida; Pseudoscorpiones; Chernetidae.
UGCAUCGGCCGGGAAUCAAACCCUUUGGCCACCCGCGUGGCAGGCGAGCAUUCUACCACUGAAGCACCGAUGC